Molecule: non-coding RNA, 45 nt
Filed under: Schistosoma mansoni
Lineage: Eukaryota; Metazoa; Platyhelminthes; Trematoda; Strigeidida; Schistosomatidae
Source: RNAcentral
ACCUAGCUGACGAGUCUCAAAUAGGACAAAACGCACGUCCUGGAU